Molecule: ribosomal RNA, 1529 nt
Filed under: Bacteroides fragilis
Lineage: Bacteria; Pseudomonadati; Bacteroidota; Bacteroidia; Bacteroidales; Bacteroidaceae
Description: bacterial SSU rRNA
Rfam family: Bacterial small subunit ribosomal RNA
Source: RNAcentral
ACAAUGAAGAGUUUGAUCCUGGCUCAGGAUGAACGCUAGCUACAGGCUUAACACAUGCAAGUCGAGGGGCAUCAGGAAGAAAGCUUGCUUUCUUUGCUGGCGACCGGCGCACGGGUGAGUAACACGUAUCCAACCUGCCCUUUACUCGGGGAUAGCCUUUCGAAAGAAAGAUUAAUACCCGAUAGCAUAAUGAUUCCGCAUGGUUUCAUUAUUAAAGGAUUCCGGUAAAGGAUGGGGAUGCGUUCCAUUAGGUUGUUGGUGAGGUAACGGCCCACCAAGCCUUCGAUGGAUAGGGGUUCUGAGAGGAAGGUCCCCCACAUUGGAACUGAGACACGGUCCAAACUCCUACGGGAGGCAGCAGUGAGGAAUAUUGGUCAAUGGGCGGUAGCCUGAACCAGCCAAGUAGCGUGAAGGAUGAAGGCUCUAUGGGUCGUAAACUUCUUUUAUAUAAGAAUAAAGUGCAGUAUGUAUACUGUUUUGUAUGUAUUAUAUGAAUAAGGAUCGGCUAACUCCGUGCCAGCAGCCGCGGUAAUACGGAGGAUCCGAGCGUUAUCCGGAUUUAUUGGGUUUAAAGGGAGCGUAGGUGGACUGGUAAGUCAGUUGUGAAAGUUUGCGGCUCAACCGUAAAAUUGCAGUUGAUACUGUCAGUCUUGAGUACAGUAGAGGUGGGCGGAAUUCGUGGUGUAGCGGUGAAAUGCUUAGAUAUCACGAAGAACUCCGAUUGCGAAGGCAGCUCACUGGACUGCAACUGACACUGAUGCUCGAAAGUGUGGGUAUCAAACAGGAUUAGAUACCCUGGUAGUCCACACAGUAAACGAUGAAUACUCGCUGUUUGCGAUAUACAGUAAGCGGCCAAGCGAAAGCAUUAAGUAUUCCACCUGGGGAGUACGCCGGCAACGGUGAAACUCAAAGGAAUUGACGGGGGCCCGCACAAGCGGAGGAACAUGUGGUUUAAUUCGAUGAUACGCGAGGAACCUUACCCGGGCUUAAAUUGCAGUGGAAUGAUGUGGAAACAUGUCAGUGAGCAAUCACCGCUGUGAAGGUGCUGCAUGGUUGUCGUCAGCUCGUGCCGUGAGGUGUCGGCUUAAGUGCCAUAACGAGCGCAACCCUUAUCUUCAGUUACUAACAGGUCAUGCUGAGGACUCUGGAGAGACUGCCGUCGUAAGAUGUGAGGAAGGUGGGGAUGACGUCAAAUCAGCACGGCCCUUACGUCCGGGGCUACACACGUGUUACAAUGGGGGGUACAGAAGGCAGCUAGCGGGUGACCGUAUGCUAAUCCCAAAAUCCUCUCUCAGUUCGGAUCGAAGUCUGCAACCCGACUUCGUGAAGCUGGAUUCGCUAGUAAUCGCGCAUCAGCCACGGCGCGGUGAAUACGUUCCCGGGCCUUGUACACACCGCCCGUCAAGCCAUGGGAGCCGGGGGUACCUGAAGUACGUAACCGCAAGGAUCGUCCUAGGGUAAAACUGGUGACUGGGGCUAAGUCGUAACAAGGUAGCCGUACCGGAAGGUGCGGCUGGAACACCUCCUUU